CAGGUUAAACUUUAUUAGUACAAAAACAAUGUGUGACAGCACAGUCUUAGUAGCACUGUUGCCAUUACGAAGAAUGAAAUCUAAUACCUUUAUGUAACUUUUUAUACAUAAGCACUUAAAAGACAAACUUUUUGGUAAAUAGGUUGUGAGAUGAAAAUUUGAUCUUAACUUAUCUAUGCAGGUUCUAGGUUGCUCAAUGUGGUUUGCUGAUUUUUUAUUUGUGGCAAGAAAUUGGGCUAAAGAUGAACAAACACGGAAGUGCUUAAGAGGUCAGCGGAAGACUUCUGCUUUUGCUUCUCCCAGAGUGACAGGGAAUUCUGGUGGAUCAGCCGAUAGGUUUUAAGAGUGAAAAAAACCAGAGAGUUUUAAGAGUGGAAAAAAAUGCAGAAUGAAUCACUCUAAGGAUUGCAGGGCUGUUAGUGCAUGUUUCGGAAAUUGGAGGUUUGCAAAUAUUUGUGGCUAACUAUGAAAGAAUACUCAUGGAGUGCUGACUGGAUUUGUACAGAAGAGUUUUAGGUUUUGAGUGUAGAAGCAAUGUGUACCUGCUUUUUCAUGCAUGUUGAUGUAUGGGAGCUUUUACUUGCUACAGGUGAAUUAGAGUUUUAGGGCCUAAGUAAGUUGUCACUUAACAAUCCCUGAGAGUGAGAAGGCUCUACACGAGUUUUACGGAUAUGCCUUGCAUCUUAUUGUAUUAUGUAUAGACACUAGGUUUUAUUCACCAUCUCAUCGAUGUACCCGGUUCUAUAGAGUAGCUUAGUUUUGCAGUAGUACAUUAGUUGCACUUAUAUUAACUGCACUGACCAAUAUGGGUUUUUUUGUCAUCAGGUCUAUUGCACAAUCCAAUUGGAAUUGGUUCUGGUUGUUAGUUUUACUUGAUUGUCAGAGUCUUUGCAGGCAGGUAGCACAACCUUGGUAUGCUCACAUCAUGAAUAUAUCAAAAUCAGUCUUAAAGUCAUUACAGGUACCGCAUCUUUGGUGUGUCAUGCUAUGCUCAUGAGUAUGAUGAAACAGAAAGGAAAUGCAACAUCUUAAAAGCAUGGUAGGAAGUUUACCUUUGAUUUGAGCUGCUGGCCAUGCUUAACAGUCCGGUCUUCAACCGUGCUGAGUGAAGGAGAUUCAUUGACAUGGGGGGCCUUCUGAAACAUUGGAAAUGGGCAGAGGCUGAAAACUUUGGGUGUCAGGCUGUGUUUGAAGUGGGGAGUCAUGCCUCAAAUAUAAAUUUUGGUGUCCUUAGUGAAAGUUGAAGCAAAACAUUGGAAAUUUGAGUUGUUCUUCAUAAUGCCUAUUAAGUUCACGAGAUCUUGCGAAAGAAAUGGGAGAAGGAAGGUAUGUACGCUCUUGUCAUGAAUAGAUCAAAAUGAGUCUUGUGGUCAUUUAAGGGAGAGCAGCAAUUGAGGUUACAAAUGAAGGUGUUGAUGCUGCAGGGCAUACAAUUGGUACAUCUUUGGAGGUCAUUUCCAACUUAGAGGAAGGUUCUCAACCCCAAGAGUACCACACCUUUAGCUAGUGAUGCUGGUUUCCUUUGCUGUGAUAAUGUCAGACUUGAGGCCCUUAGAGGGAUUUGUCAUCGUCUCAGUUUUAUUCGAUACAACAUCUUGCCCUCAUACACCUUCACAAAAUGGGGUAGCCAGACGUAAAAAUAUGCAUCUUGUAGUAACCGCUUGGACCUUACUUCUCUAUGGUAAUGUUCCAUUCUGGUUAUGGGGGAUAUUAUGCUAAUAUGGCAUGUUACCCUAUAAACCUCAUGCCCUCGUCUGUCCUUAACAACAAUAUCCCUCAUUUAAUUUUGUUGUUUCCUUAUUCCCCCUUCACCCAAUUCCUCCUCGUGUCUUCGAGUCUACAAUAUUUGUUAAAGUAAAUGCUCGUGACGGUGACGGUACGGUGAUCGCCCAUGGUUCUCUUUCUCUCUCUUCCAGUGAAUAGGAUAUAUAUAGGUAUCAUAACCUGUGCCACUACUGGACUUAACCUACACCACACACACUAACUAACUACACGUUAGUUAUGAUGACAUGGCACUCUAGAAUAUACACUAAUACUCCCCCACAAGUUCAAGGUGGCUGCAAAGUCAGGCUUGAGGCAGACAAGUUGAGCUUGCUUCUGAGCUCCAGAAAUCUUGAACUUCAAAGACUUCCCAUAAAGGAAAGUAUGUACGCUCUUGUCAUGAAUAGAUCAAAAUGAGUCUUGAGGUCAUUACAGGGAGAGCCAACCGUUGAGGUUACAAAUGAAGGUGUUGAUGCUGCAGGGCAUACAAUUGGUACAUUUUUGGAGGUCGUGUUCAAACUUAGGAAGGUUCUCAACCCCAAGAGUACCACACCUUUGCUAUGACCAUGUCAGUCUUGAGGUCCUUAGAGGUACCACACCUUUGCCGUGUCAUACUAUGUUCAUGAGUAUGAUGAAACAGAAAGGAAAUGGUAGGAAGUUUGGUUUGCUGUGAUCGGUUCCAUGAGAUUUAGAAAGUGAUGCAGGGACGCCUUUGAUCAUGCUCAACAAGCUGCUAGAGUUUUCAAGAACAGAAGCAGCCUGCGGUCUACCCUAUUGGAAGCACCAUCCGUUCUUCAACCCAACUACGAGUGGAUGAGUGUCAUUGACUCGGGCCUGCUGGAACAUUGGAAUUGGCAGAGGGUGAAAAUGUUUGGUGACAACUGGUUCCUAGUGAUUCGGUUAAUCGAAGAUGAAGCAAACGAUGGAAAUUGU
Molecule: long non-coding RNA, 2694 nt
Organism: Lathyrus oleraceus (garden pea)
Lineage: Eukaryota; Viridiplantae; Streptophyta; Magnoliopsida; Fabales; Fabaceae
Exons: 13
Source: RefSeq, a predicted model, not a curated record